GGACGAACGCUGGCGGCGUGCUUAACACAUGCAAGUCGAACGGAAAGGCCCUGCUUUUGUGGGGUGCUCGAGUGGCGAACGGGUGAGUAACACGUGAGUAACCUGCCCUUGACUUUGGGAUAACUUCAGGAAACUGGGGCUAAUACCGGAUAGGAGCUCCUGCUGCAUGGUGGGGGUUGGAAAGUUUCGGCGGUUGGGGAUGGACUCGCGGCUUAUCAGCUUGUUGGUGGGGUAGUGGCUUACCAAGGCUUUGACGGGUAGCCGGCCUGAGAGGGUGACCGGCCACAUUGGGACUGAGAUACGGCCCAGACUCCUACGGGAGGCAGCAGUGGGGAAUAUUGCACAAUGGGCGGAAGCCUGAUGCAGCAACGCCGCGUGCGGGAUGACGGCCUUCGGGUUGUAAACCGCUUUCGCCUGUGACGAAGCGUGAGUGACGGUAAUGGGUAAAGAAGCACCGGCUAACUACGUGC
Molecule: ribosomal RNA, 470 nt
Filed under: uncultured bacterium
Lineage: Bacteria
Description: partial 16S ribosomal RNA
Rfam family: Bacterial small subunit ribosomal RNA
Source: RNAcentral